RNAcentral lists this ribosomal RNA (449 nucleotides) under uncultured organism. Its description in RNAcentral is "partial 16S ribosomal RNA". It matches the Rfam family "Bacterial small subunit ribosomal RNA", at positions 335 to 800 of the family's 1533-position model. The record is from RNAcentral.
ACUCCUACGGGAGGCAGCAGUGGGGAAUAUUGGACAAUGGGCGCAAGCCUGAUCCAGCCAUGCCGCGUGAGUGAUGAAGGCCCUAGGGUUGUAAAGCUCUUUCACCGGUGAAGAUAAUGACGGUAACCGGAGAAGAAGCCCCGGCUAACUUCGUGCCAGCAGCCGCGGUAAUACGAAGGGGGCUAGCGUUGUUCGGAUUUACUGGGCGUAAAGCGCACGUAGGCGGACUAUUAAGUCAGGGGUGAAAUCCCGGGGCUCAACCCCGGAACUGCCUUUGAUACUGGUAGUCUUGAGUUCGAGAGAGGUGAGUGGAAUUCCGAGUGUAGAGGUGAAAUUCGUAGAUAUUCGGAGGAACACCAGUGGCGAAGGCGGCUCACUGGCUCGAUACUGACGCUGAGGUGCGAAAGCGUGGGGAGCAAACAGGAUUAGAUACCCGGGUAGUCCCAUGA